UGUGUAUUUGACAAGCUGGGUUCAACACUCAGUGUAGCAGUGUCAGUUUGUCAAAUAUACAAA
This 63-nucleotide microRNA precursor is filed under the name Python bivittatus (Burmese python). Its description in RNAcentral is "Pbv-Mir-223_pre stem-loop". Lineage: Eukaryota; Metazoa; Chordata; Lepidosauria; Squamata; Pythonidae. The record is from RNAcentral.